Long non-coding RNA from Daktulosphaira vitifoliae (grape phylloxera), 1604 nucleotides. RefSeq lists it as uncharacterized. Lineage: Eukaryota; Metazoa; Arthropoda; Insecta; Hemiptera; Phylloxeridae. The transcript is spliced from 3 exons. The record is from RefSeq and is a predicted model, not a curated record.
GAAAACGUUCGUCUUCAGAUUUAUCUAUUUUAUGUACAGCGCAAGGAUAUCCUGUCCCAAAUUUCAGGUGAGAAUAUUCCACAAUGCUUUUAUUAAUUUAUAUUUUUCGCGAUUACAAUUUAAGUAAAUACAUUUUUGAGAUUAGUAGCCUUUUUUUAUUUACAAAUCGCUCUAUAACUUAGAGCCCGUUGGUACUAAAUCUCCUGCCCUGGCAUCUGAUUUUAAAGGAACUAUACUAAUUCGACCAUCAAAUAUGAACAUCGUUUUAUUGUGUCAAUCUCAAGGAUAUCCGGUACCAGAAUUUAGAGCCCAUUGGAUAUAAAGCACCUACAUUAUCAUCAGAUUUCUCUAGUACAGGUUUAAAAAAACGUGCAUUUUCACCAAUUGUAUUGUUAUGUCAGUCACAGGGCUACCCCAUACCGGAAUUUAGGUGAGAAGUGAUGGUUUUAUAAUAACUUCUUAUAUAUUUUUUGAUAGUGAUUUUAAUCACUGUCAGAUAUCAUUAUACUUGAUCCAUCUAUGACACGUCCCCACUGUGCUGCGACCCCCCUGUGCUGGUUUUUUUUUAUUUAAACUAUCCAUUACAAAAAAUUACUUACCACUCAUAUUUCAACAUUCAGGUAUUACUUAGGUUAAUAAUUUUAUUUUUGAGAAUUAUUUCAUUUAAGUUUUCAUAAAACUUCUAAUGCAGAUCCUGUAGGAUUUAAACCUCCUUCACUUUCAUCAGACUUUGAAGGAACUCGGGUGCGCAAAAUUUCAAAAAAUGAUAUUGCAUUAUUGUGUCAAUCACAGGGGUUCCCAAUUCCAGAGUUCAGGUGAGACAGUAGCUAUAACUUAAUAAAAUGAAAAAAAUAAUUAUAGAACCUGUUGGUAUAAAGUCUCCUACAUUUGAAACAAAAUCUGAAACGUAUAGAUUUCGAAUGAAAUCAGACACUGACUUGAGUUUACAAUGUGAAGCACAAGGUUUUCCUAUCCCAUUAUUCAGGUUAGAUAUAAUAUAAAGAUUUAAUUUCUAUAGAGCCCUUUGGUGCAAAAGCACCAUCAGUACCACCAGAAAGUAGGCACAACUAGGUUGAAAAAAAUGUACAGCAGAAUAUAAAUCUUCUAUGCUUAGCACAGAGCUUUCCGGUACCCCUUUUUCGGUGAGUUCAAUGUUAUGUUAUACAAAACCAAAACAUUAGGUCCAUCAUGAUUUAUUUUAGUAUUUAAAUUUUAGCAUUGUGGAAUAAUCUAAUUGCUUAAAAUAAAAUAUGCGUAAGGUAUUAAAGCAUAAAUUUAUGUGUAGAUACGAUAAGUGCUAAAGCGCCUACCGCACCAGAUGACAAAAGUAGAUCAAUAGUACGCAAAUCUAAUCAAUAUAUAACAUUGUUUUGUAUAACCCAAGCUUUUCCUGUACCAUCCUUCAGGUUUGUAAAAACUAAUUGACCAUGUCAAAUCCUUUUUUGGGGACAGUUAUUUUCUUAGGUUGAAAAUUAGGUAAAAGUUUUUAAAUAAAAGAAAUAAUUGUAUUUUUAUCGUAGUUUUUUUCCAAAUCUCUGUUUUGCAUCAUAUAACACACACAUAUAUAUAUAUACUUUCUUGGCGAAUACUAUUAAACUAAUACU